CUGGUUGAUCCUGCCAGACCCGACUGCUAUCGGAUUGGGACUAAGCCAUGCGAGUCAACUCCGCAAGGGGUGGCGCACGGCUCAGUAACACGUAGUCAACCUACCCUGGGGACGGGGAUAACCUCGGGAAACUGAGGCUAAACCCCGAUGGGCCACGGCUCCUGGAAUGGGCUAUGGCUGAAAUCUACAUGGCCCCAGGAUGGGACUGCGGCCGAUCAGGUUGUUGGUGGGGUAAUGGCCCACCAAGCCUAUAACCGGUGCGGGCUCUGAGAGGAGGAGCCCGGAGAUGGGCACUGAGACAAGGGCCCAGGUCCUAUGGGGCGCAGCAGGCGCGAAACCUCCGCAAUGGGCGAAAGCCCGACGGGGUCAGUCCGAGUGGUUCCCGCUGAGGGAACCUUUUGCCAGCUGUAAACAGGCUGGCGAAUAAGGGGUGGGCAAGUUUGGUGUCAGCCGCCGCGGUAAUACCAGCACCCCGAGUGGUCGGGACGAUUAUUGGGCCUAAAGCAUCCGUAGCCGGCCCAGUAAGUCCUCCGUUAAAUCCAACGGCUCAACCGUUGGGCUGCGGGGGAUACUGCUGGGCUAGGGGACGGGAGAGGCGAGGGGUAUUCCCGGGGUAGGGGUAAAAUCCACUGAUCCCGGGAGGACCACCAGUGGCGAAGGCGCCUCGCUAGAACGUGCCCGACGGUGAGGGAUGAAAGCUGGGGGAGCGAACCGGAUUAGAUACCCGGGUAGUCCCAGCCGUAAACGAUGUAGGCUCGGUGUUGGGCUGCCUCAGUGGCAGCCCAGUGCCGCAGGGAAGCCGUUAAGCCUACCGCCUGGGGAGUACGGCCGCAAGGCUGAAACUUAAAGGAAUUGGCGGGGGAGCACCAC
RNAcentral lists this ribosomal RNA (870 nucleotides) under uncultured archaeon. RNAcentral's name for it is "bacterial SSU rRNA". It matches the Rfam family "Archaeal small subunit ribosomal RNA", at positions 4 to 882 of the family's 1478-position model. The record is from RNAcentral.